UACAGAGGGUGCAAGCGUUGUCCGGAAUUACUGGGCGUAAAGAGCUCGUAGGUGGUUUGUCGCGUUGUUCGUGAAAACUCACAGCUUAACUGUGGGCGUGCGGGCGAUACGGGCAGACUGGAGUACUGCAGGGGAGACUGGAAUUCCUGGUGUAGCGGUGGAAUGCGCAGAUAUCAGGAGGAACACCGGUGGCGAAGGCGGGUCUCUGGGCAGUAACUGACGCUGAGGAGCGAAAGCGUGGGGAGCGAACAGG
This 253-nucleotide ribosomal RNA is filed under the name uncultured bacterium. RNAcentral describes it as "partial 16S ribosomal RNA". It matches the Rfam family "Bacterial small subunit ribosomal RNA", at positions 524 to 776 of the family's 1533-position model. The record is from RNAcentral.